This 505-nucleotide long non-coding RNA is filed under the name Chinchilla lanigera (long-tailed chinchilla). RNAcentral describes it as "lncRNA (ENSCLAG00000023783.1)". Lineage: Eukaryota; Metazoa; Chordata; Mammalia; Rodentia; Chinchillidae. The record is from RNAcentral.
GCUAAAGCAGUAUGAUUUUUUUUUUUUUUGGUGAAGUUGAUACUCUUCUCUAUUUUCCUGCACAGGGUAUGAGGGCCCAUUGACCAGCACUUGCUUAGUAGUUUACAAGGUAACAAUAGAGAAGCAGGUCAAGGAGAAGCACAUUGACAUGGGACUGUGGAUGGAGGCUUGAGCUAUCUGUGACUGACUUAGCGUAUUCUCCCGAGGAAGCCCGUGAGUGUUUGUGGCAGGGCCUGGAAAGUACUGAGUGUUGUGUCGACAGAGCGCGUCUACAGUUGGCAGCAUAAGGGAGCUGAGGAAAGAGUGUGAUGUGUCCUGCUGUGAGCACAGGAAGCCUCCCCAACACAGCAAACGGGAGGACAAAGAAAGGCGAAGUACAACUUCAACAGUGCAAGGUCAGCACGGAGUCCUGGCUUUUGAGUCCGGGAUUUGGAAGCAAGGGAAGAAUUCAGACAUAUUAAUUUGGAGAAGACUGUACAAUAAUGAAGCCUUCCAACCCAUAAAG